This 440-nucleotide ribosomal RNA is filed under the name uncultured bacterium. Its description in RNAcentral is "partial 16S ribosomal RNA". It matches the Rfam family "Bacterial small subunit ribosomal RNA", at positions 338 to 795 of the family's 1533-position model. The record is from RNAcentral.
CCUACGGGGGGCAGCAGUAGGGAAUAUUGCUCAAUGGGCGAAACCCUGAAGCAGCAACGCCGCGUGGAGGAUGAAGGUUCUCGGAUUGUAAACUCCUUUUGUUAGAGAAGAUAAUGACGGUAUCUAACGAAUAAGCACCGGCUAACUCCAUGCCAGCAGCCGCGGUAAUACGGAGGGUGCAAGCGUUACUCGGAAUCACUGGGCGUAAAGAGCGCGUAGGCGGGAUAGCAAGUCAGAGGUGAAAUCCUAUGGCUUAACCAUAGAACUGCAUUUGAAACUGGUAUUCUAGAGUAGGGGAGAGGUAGGUGGAAUGCUUGGUGUAGGGGUAAAAUGCGUAGAGAUCAAGAAGAAUACUCAUUGCGAAGGCGACCUGCUAGAACAUAACUGACGCUGAGGCGCGAAAGCGUGGGGAGCAAACAGGAUUAGAUACCCGUGUAGUC